RNAcentral lists this ribosomal RNA (253 nucleotides) under uncultured bacterium. Its description in RNAcentral is "partial 16S ribosomal RNA". It matches the Rfam family "Bacterial small subunit ribosomal RNA", at positions 524 to 776 of the family's 1533-position model. The record is from RNAcentral.
UACAGAGGUGGCAAGCGUUGUUCGGAAUUACUGGGCGUAAAGGGCGCGUAGGCGGCCUUCUAAGUCGAACGUGAAAGCCCCAGGCUUAACCUGGGAACUGCGUUUGAUACUGGAAGGCUUGGAUUCGGGAGAGGGAUGUGGAAUUCCAGGUGUAGCGGUGAAAUGCGUAGAUAUCUGGAGGAACACCGGUGGCGAAGGCGGCAUCCUGGACCGGUAUUGACGCUGAUGCGCGAAAGCCAGGGGAGCAAACGGG